This is a long non-coding RNA of Dromaius novaehollandiae (emu), 1003 nucleotides long. RefSeq lists it as uncharacterized. The record is from RefSeq and is a predicted model, not a curated record. NCBI's taxonomy places the organism in Eukaryota, Metazoa, Chordata, Aves, Casuariiformes, Dromaiidae. The transcript has 4 exons.
GCUUAAAUGUUUUUUUUAACUGUGGACUGUAACAGCACUUUCCCAUCUCCCCCCGCCUGCAGGAUCAGCCUUUAGUUCAUUCCUCUCCUGCAGACUCCAGCCUCCUCCGGUACUAGAAGCAGAGAGCGCUGUGACCUAGAUGGGGAGGAGGCGAAGCUCUACAGCCUUACUUGACUCUGUCAUGGAAGAGUUUUCUGCUUUGCUGAUUUUCUAUUUAGUACAUUCAGCUAAGCAGCCUCCGAAGCAUACAAAGGCUGAGGUGAAGCAAAUGUCCCCAUAGCCAUCCUGCAAAGAAUGGCUUUCCUGCAGGCGCCAUGUCCCAGGGUGCUGCAGAAGUCACACAAGCUCUCCAGAGGCUGUUCCAAGACUGAUCACCUGGGAAGACUCCCUCAGUCCUACGAAUGCCAGUAUAAUGGUUUCACUCAUGAGAAAAGGACUUCAUAUUGACUAAGACCCUUGCCAAAGGCCAGCUGAGGAGAAGGAAGAUGGAGUUGGGAAGGAAAAGAAAACAGGGAACUGUCAUGCAACAAAAUGAGUCAGAUGUACACUCUUGUGGGAUGCCAGCCAGUGAGGUAUGAUGUUAUUGUCUAGAAUGUUUCCAGACCCAGCCGAAACUGGCUGCCAGGAAUAUUUUGGUCAGCUGAUAAUCACCAUCUCCACUUUCUGCUGGCAAUAACGGAGACUAGAUCAGGAUGGAGAAGAGAGGGGAGAUGCUGUAUAUCUGAGUGAAGAAGCAGGGAGGGAGCACAGCCAUUGUAACCAUACUAUGCAGGCCUGUCUCUGUUGGGGUAACAUGAUGCCUUUCUAACUUCAGUCGUAGCCCUUCUCUAGUGAAAUAUCAUGUAGGAGUCUGCUUUGGAACAUGGGACAUCUCUUUUCACAGCUCUUCUCAUGCUGCUACAUGUGAGAGGAAAGUGGAAAUCCUUCCCAUCCUGCAGAGCGUACAAAGAGGCUCAGCAUGUGUGUGAGCAGUGUUGGGGUGCAGACCCAUGCAAGGCCAUGC